ACUCCUUGUGAAAGUCCCCAACACUUUUGAAUGGCCUUUUCCUGACAAUCCUCUCCAGGCUGCAGUCAUCCCUGCUGCUUGUGCACCUUUUUCUUCCACAUUUUUCCCUUCCACAUAACUUUCUAUUAAUGUGCUUUCAUACAGCACUUUGGGAACAUCCAACUUCCUUCGCAAUUACCUUUUGAGGCUUUCCCUCCUUAUGGAGGUUGUCAAUGAUGGUUUUCUGCACAACUGUCAGGUCAGCAGUCUUCCCCAUGAUUGUGAUUCCUACUGAACCAGACUGAGAGACCAUUUAAAGGCUC
This is a non-coding RNA of Pelobates cultripes (western spadefoot toad), 302 nucleotides long. NCBI's taxonomy places the organism in Eukaryota, Metazoa, Chordata, Amphibia, Anura, Pelobatidae. The record is from the annotation of a GenBank genome assembly.